GUGUGUGGUGAUGUGUUGAGUCUGUGGGGUUACAAAGAAACAAGAGUCUACAGAUACAAAGAUAUUCCGUAUCAGGAGUCUAUAUUAUGAACAUUAUGUACGGAUGCAUGGCCCAGGGACACAGCACUUCUGCCUUGCCACCCCUCCCAGCCUCACCUUCUGUGAGUGCCUCUGUCAGCACCAAAGUGGUGCUUGCUCCACGCCUGCCCGUCUUGCCCAGAGCCCAGUGCUGGACAUGGACACGGGCAGACAGAAUUCACCAGGGAAUGAAUGGCAUGUCUGCAGGUGCACUCAGGUACAGCGCAUAAAUUCAGAUUUGGAGAGCUUAUGUUCCAUCAUAAAUUGGGCUGGCAGACUUCCGAUGAACAAGAUAAAGCUGUCUCCUGUGAGGCCAUCCUGGGGCACGGGCAAGUGUACAUGUGAUGGGCUCCAGGUGUGUGCUGGGACCCGUGCCUGGACUCGUUACCCAGGAAGCUGUUUCCAGGAACCUCAAGCUGCGUGUCUGUAUCUUGAAUCUCCUCAUCAGCUUCCUUUGUGCCUGAGUUCUGCACUCCAAGGCCACGGAGAACAAAAUGCCCCAUGACGCCUGCACGCAGCUCCCAGAAGGCCCUUCGUGGGAGGAGCACGGGAUAGGGGAUCUGUGUUGAGCAUAAGGUGACGUGGACAGCAGGCCUGGUCACAGGACAAGGACAGCAUAGGCACACACGAGCAGGGCCAUCUGCUGAACAUGGGAUGGACACACCUGAGCACGUGGGUGUUCCUCCAUCUCAGGUCUGGACCUGCUCUUCCCUCACACUUGGCCCCAGAUGGCACAUCCCAGGGACAUGGGGUGGAAUAGGACUGGUGCCCAAGGCUGUGUGCUGGGCACCAGCUCUGCUCCUCAGCUCUGGUUGUCACCCUGACCUGGCAUCUGAAACAGGGACAAUCGUGGUGCUGCAGGGGCUUGUGCCACAGGGAUGAGGACCGCACAGGCCUCUAUGCCCAUGUCCACCCAGCAGGGCAGCAGCCACCUCCAGGGCUCCUCCCGUGCCCCACUCACAGCUGAGGCCAGGUCCAGGCUGCAGGCUGGCAGUGUCUGCAGGGAGGAGGGGUGGAGCCUCGUGCCCAUAGACUGUCUUGCUCCCUGGGCCCGUGGAGGGCACAUGCCCCCUUUCGCUUGUUCCUAUCCUGUGGUUCCCAUCCCCCAGCUCCUGCACGCUGAGCCCACGUGUGGGGGAAGCAUGUAAGGUGUUGUGUAAGUUAGCACACACACUGCGUGUUUCUGGUGAUGUCAGCAUCUGUGCACGCCUGUCCUGUGCAUCCAGCUCUUGGAGCUGCUGUCAUGCACACGGGGGUGUCUAGGUGUGAGUACACAGGUGGGUUGCUGUGUCCUCUGAGAAUGCAUGUGUCUGUUGGUGGCUGUGGGUGCUGUGUGGGCGCGUGUGUGUGCUUCCUCACAGCUCAGUGUCAGCUACGGCACACCUGUGGGGCCAGUGUGACCCCUGCAUGUCAUCAUGUGUCUGGGCGCAUCUAGGCCUGUCUCCAGCCCCUUGGGUCACCCUGGAUGAGCACAGGUGAGGGCCAGCCAGGUCCACCUCAGCACCUGUGGUCCUAGGGACUCUCGUCCUCCACCCUCCCCUCUGGAUCUCUCUUCCCCGGUUUGUACCACAUCUGGUGCUCAAUAAAUGAUUGACUGGUGAAGGAAUGGAUGAAAAUGGGGCUCUAGGGGUGCAGUCUGGAUAGAGGCAUGGGCAGGCACUGCAGAGUGGAAAGGAGGGCUCUGGCAGGCGCACCAGUUGUGGAUGGGGUCAGCAGCGCCAGAGGGGUCGGUCAAGCCCGGCUGAGCCUGGGUUGGGGGCAGCAGGGUCUGCAGGCCGCCCCCGCGCUCCCUGGGGACGUCUCGGGUCACCGUCUGCACCUCCGGCCCGAGCAGCCCCGCGGGUUAUUUAUGACCCCCCUCCCCCUCCCUGGCGGCAGCAGCGGCUCCGGCCUCGGCCCAGCGGCG
This is a long non-coding RNA of Rhinolophus ferrumequinum (greater horseshoe bat), 1984 nucleotides long. Lineage: Eukaryota; Metazoa; Chordata; Mammalia; Chiroptera; Rhinolophidae. The record is from Ensembl.